This 406-nucleotide ribosomal RNA is filed under the name uncultured bacterium. Its description in RNAcentral is "partial 16S ribosomal RNA". It matches the Rfam family "Bacterial small subunit ribosomal RNA", at positions 30 to 526 of the family's 1533-position model. The record is from RNAcentral.
AUUGAACGCUGGCGGCAGGCCUAACACAUGCAAGUCGGACGAGUGGCGGACGGGUGAGGACUGUCUGGGAAACUGCCUGAUGGAGUGGGAUAACGACUGGAAACGGUAGCUAAUAACGCAUACCAUCAGAUGUGCCCAGAUGGGAUUAGCUAGUUGGUGGGGUAACGGCUCACCAAAGAGACGAACCCUAGCUGGUCUGAGAGGAUGACCACCCCAACUAGAACUUAGCCACGUUCCAGACUCCUACGUGAGGAAGCAGGGGGUAAUAUUGCACAAUGGGCGCAAGCCUUAUGCAGCCAUGCCGGGUGUAUGACGAAGUCCUUCGGGUUGUAAAGUACUUUCAGCGGUGAGGCGUUACCCGCAGAAGAAGCACCGGCUAACUCCGUGACAGCAGCCGCGGUAAGUC